RNAcentral lists this non-coding RNA (26 nucleotides) under Mus musculus (house mouse). Lineage: Eukaryota; Metazoa; Chordata; Mammalia; Rodentia; Muridae. The record is from RNAcentral.
UAGGUCUCCAGGGCUAAGCAUGGCCU